GGUGCUGUUGUGCGGGGUAUAGUUGAUAAAGGCGAAGCCGCGGGCCUGAUCGAUGGUGUGGAACAGCGGGUUCCAAUCGAACAUCACCAGCAUGAAACCCGGCAGAGUGUUGGCCACGAACAUCUUGCCUGACGCGAUCAUAUUGGCACGUUG
RNAcentral lists this non-coding RNA (153 nucleotides) under Pseudoprimorskyibacter insulae. Its description in RNAcentral is "Ruegeria cis2 sRNA". It matches the Rfam family "Ruegeria cis2 sRNA". From Rfam's summary of the family: Cis-encoded. Targets ABC transporter. Lineage: Bacteria; Pseudomonadati; Pseudomonadota; Alphaproteobacteria; Rhodobacterales; Paracoccaceae. The record is from Rfam by way of RNAcentral.